This 253-nucleotide ribosomal RNA is filed under the name uncultured bacterium. RNAcentral's name for it is "partial 16S ribosomal RNA". It matches the Rfam family "Bacterial small subunit ribosomal RNA", at positions 524 to 776 of the family's 1533-position model. The record is from RNAcentral.
UACGGAGGGAGCUAGCGUUAUUCGGAAUUACUGGGCGUAAAGCGCACGUAGGCGGCUUUGUAAGUAAGAGGUGAAAGCCUGGAGCUCAACUCCAGAACUGCCUUUUAGACUGCAUCGCUUGAAUCCAGGAGAGGUGAGUGGAAUUCCGAGUGUAGAGGUGAAAUUCGUAGAUAUUCGGAAGAACACCAGUAGCGAAGGCGGCUCACUGGACUGGUAUUGACGCUGAGGUGCGAAAGCGUGGGUAGCAAACAGG